Molecule: long non-coding RNA, 258 nt
Filed under: Lathyrus oleraceus (garden pea)
Lineage: Eukaryota; Viridiplantae; Streptophyta; Magnoliopsida; Fabales; Fabaceae
Description: Pisum sativum (pea) long non-coding RNA (PSAT_LNC023109)
Source: RNAcentral
UUCCAACCUCAGUGUUGUCUCCUCUUUUUUCAACCUCAGAGUUGUCGUCGCUUAUCGUAUUACCCCGACCUCAGAGUUGUAUGUUGCCUGUCCUUACCCCAACCUCAGAGUUGUUGUCAGCGUUGAGAUUUACUAUUCUCUUCCCAACCUCCGAGUUAACGCCUACCUUUGUUACCAGCCUCAGAGUUGAACAACUACAUUUUUCCAACUUCAGAGUUGGUGUAUCUCUUUCCAGCAUCAGAGCUUAGACCCCACUUU